CUUUGUUACUUCUAGGAAUUAGAGAGGCAGUUUAUUUCCUCUCCACCUAGUGCUGCAAAGUGCAGAGAAACCCUGACCGGCUGCGGGAAGAGGAGCAGCCCUGGCACAAAAGUGUAAUCGUAUUUCUGGUUCUGCCUCCUGCUCCUGGUUUUGGAAGAAGGACUGCCACAGACAACCUGCUGUGCCCAUCCAUCUUCCUGAGUGCUUCUGGAGGCCCUUGCACAACAUCCUGCCACAAGGGUGGAAACACAAAACUGCUGUUCACUGGGAGGGCCCUGGAAACCUUUAAAGAAACUGUUAAGACUGCACAUAAGGAAAGUAACUGCUGGUCAACAGCUGGAGUUUUCCUCAGUCCUAUCACUCAGAAAAAAAGGAAUAUAAUGUAGUUUUUUAAAAAGCAAACAAACAAAAAAAACCAAACAAAACCCAAAA
Long non-coding RNA from Tympanuchus pallidicinctus (lesser prairie-chicken), 432 nucleotides. RefSeq lists it as uncharacterized. The transcript is spliced from 2 exons. Lineage: Eukaryota; Metazoa; Chordata; Aves; Galliformes; Phasianidae. The record is from RefSeq and is a predicted model, not a curated record.